AGAAAUGGCUGAAAAUAGGCGAUAAAUUGUAAAUUUAUUUAUGAAUGAUUAAUUCUUUCUCCAAGCU
RNAcentral lists this transfer RNA (67 nucleotides) under Staphylinidae sp. BMNH 1274636. Its description in RNAcentral is "tRNA-Tyr". The record is from RNAcentral. Lineage: Eukaryota; Metazoa; Arthropoda; Insecta; Coleoptera; Staphylinidae.